UUUCAUGUUUAACAGAGGUGUCUUCAAGGAGAUGAAACAAUUCAGAAUGACCUAGGCAAUGGGGUAAUUCCUAAGUAUUGUAGGUCAAGAUAUUGGUUACCUAUGAGGGGGUGAUGCCUGGAGGAAGACCUAAGGGGAGGUCUUCUGGAUACUGAGUGCAUGGACCCCACCACCGUGCCCUGAGGAAGCCCAAACAACCCAUGGAGACAUCCGCAUGGAGAGACCUGUGCCCUCAGUCCUGGUUGAACUCCCAGCUGACAGUCAAUGUCAACUUGCCAGCCAUAUGAGUGAACCAUACUGAAGUUCAUCAUCCAUCCCUGAGUAAAGCUACGUGAGCUGACACCAUGUGGAGAAGAAACAAGCAUUCUUACUGAGCCCCGCCCAAAUUGCCGAUUCAUGAACUAAAAAAAAAGAUUGCUGUUCAUUUAAGCCACUAAAUUUUAGGAAUGUUUAGUAAGCAGCAAUCUAUAACUAGAACAAUGGUCAAUAAAUGAAAAUUUUACUUUAAGAAGGCAUACUAUAGCCACAUAACUUUGGGAAACUCUCUUGGUUAAAGUUUUAAAAAUUUCCCUUACUGCAGAGCUUUUAAUGGGCUAAUGUGUUUCAUGUUCCCUCACAAGAGUAUCCAGUGUUUCUCAAACAUUUUUAACCACAGAAUCUGUAUUGUAAAGUGCCAUCUUGCGAGAUUGGGGUUAACGGCCAGACUUUAAGAAAACCAAAUGAACUUUUCAGUAAUUCAAUAAUUGAAAUUCUAAUUCUUAAAAUUGCAAAGAGUUUACAU
This 781-nucleotide long non-coding RNA is filed under the name Homo sapiens (human). RNAcentral's name for it is "novel transcript". Lineage: Eukaryota; Metazoa; Chordata; Mammalia; Primates; Hominidae. The record is from RNAcentral.